GGUAUAUCCCAUAUGUUCAAGGAUCUUCUCAACAUCCUCAAGCCAAUACUUUACCUUAGUAGGAUCAACUCCCUUGACACCACUGAAUUCCUUACCACCUAUAGCUCGCAGAUGCUCUAAUGGAAAUCCUCGAUUGGUUCAAGCAACACUGGUACCAGUGACACAUUUAAAAUCCCCAAUCAAGGCUUAUACCAACGGUUC
RNAcentral lists this long non-coding RNA (201 nucleotides) under Gossypium raimondii (Peruvian cotton). Its description in RNAcentral is "long non-coding RNA (GRAI_LNC001449)". Lineage: Eukaryota; Viridiplantae; Streptophyta; Magnoliopsida; Malvales; Malvaceae. The record is from RNAcentral.